RNAcentral lists this long non-coding RNA (1195 nucleotides) under Sus scrofa (pig). Its description in RNAcentral is "lncRNA (ENSSSCG00015046999.1)". Lineage: Eukaryota; Metazoa; Chordata; Mammalia; Artiodactyla; Suidae. The record is from RNAcentral.
AUAGGGUUUCAGCUUGCAGGCUGCACUAGUUUGCUUUUCAGAGUUCCAAAAGGGCAUUUGUGGUGGCACCACUGUGCCCAGUGCCUUUGCUGGCUUCCUGAGCUUUCCAGAAUAUUGAGGUGUGUGUGCAGGUAUGCUCGAUUGUGUGCACGAGACCUGCAUGUGCGUGAGUGCUCAUGGAAGCCCGUGAGCUGGUGUGUGUGGAUGCACGCGCACGUGCUCGUCUGCAUCUCUCCAGCCCACAGGUCCCAGCACCAAAGGCAGGCACACCCUCAGCUAAUGCACUUGGUGGCCAAACAGGUUCCAGCUGCUUCUUUGUUGCAUUUAAACACCUGGGAAGCUGUACAGCUCACGUGGAUCGCUUGAGACUGAGAGACUCUGCACUGAAGUCCUUGUGGUGAUUAUCACGAGGACUCUGUGAUUUCCCUUGUGAGAACCCCAUGGGCAGGCUGGGAACACUUCGCUGUGAUUGUCGCCAGCUCCUCCCAGAAGGACUCAGGUCACUCCUCCCAGGCCUGCACCAGCCCAGACAGGUCAAAGAGCAGGAUUCCAAGCCAUUGAAAUGGUCUCUGGAGAAGCCUGGAAUUUCCCUGUGACACGUGUGGUAGAAGGUAGCAGGGUUGGUCUUCUGGCAGCCAGGACCAGGGGUUGCCAGCACCCUAGGAUCCCUUGCCACUUGCCAAGUGAGGGGCAGGCAGCCGUUCAGAUCUCAGGGGCUGGAGAGCAAAGCGGAAGGGAGGGCACAUACCUCACCCUCAUCCUCAGCCCUUCUCUGUCCUCCCAGAUGCUUCUAAGUGUGAGAUGUGAAGGAUGUGAAACGCUUGAAACGCAGGCCAUGCCAGGUGUGGAUGCUAACAGCGCUCCCUAGUACACACCCCGGACGCUGAGCUUCACCUUGGAGUCCACUUCCAAGCGAGCCUCCCCUCCAAGCCACAGCCUCAGAGGGCUCGCUAUGCGGUUGAGCCUCUCGUCUUCAGCAGUACCAUCUUCCUCACCCUCCCCACUGCACAUCACUCACACUGCAUGCAGAGCUGGGCGUUAAGAACUCUGCAUGCAUCAUCCUGUUUCAUUCUCAGACCCACCCAGGAUCUCCGUCUCCCAGGUGAGGCUCAGAGUGGUUCCGCUGGAGGGUCAGGGCCUGUCUGAUGCCAAUAUUUUUCUAUCUACCAAGCUUCCCUUUUCUCACCCUCCCAUC